GCUUAGCCCCUAAACCUCAAUAAUUAUCAAAACCAAAAAAUAUUUGCCUGAGAACUACUGGCCACAGCUUAAAACUCAAAGGACUUGGCGGUACUUUAUAUCCAUC
RNAcentral lists this ribosomal RNA (106 nucleotides) under Chordata environmental sample. RNAcentral's name for it is "partial 12S ribosomal RNA". Lineage: Eukaryota; Metazoa; Chordata. The record is from RNAcentral.